CCUACGGAAGGAUCAUUGUCGAACCUCUGCGUAGCAGAAUGACCCGCAAACAUAUUGCCACUCCUCAGGGGGUGGAGCAGGGCGCGAGCCCACCUAUCUACUCCUGAUUAAGAGGCCCCGAGAGCCCCGCCUACCGUCGUGCCUUGUGCGCAGGCCGGUGGGUGCUCUCGAUGGCUCCUCUCAAACAAACAACGAACCCCAAUGCGGAAAGCGCCAAGGAACUUGAACAGAGCAACGCUCUCCUCAUGUCCCGAUCCCGGGUGCUUCGGGAGAUGUCGUUUUCAUAAAUAUUAUAUAGAAACGACUCUCAAAAAUUGAUAUCUAGGCUCUUGCAUCGAUGAAGAACGUAGCAAAAUGCAAUACUUGGUGUGAAUUGAAAAAUCACGUGAAUCAUCGAGUCUUUGAACGCAAGUUGUGCCCGAAGCCAUUAGGUCGAGGGCAUGCCUGCUUGGGCUUCACCCACUCGUCACCCCUUCCCCCCCCCCCAAAGCCGUGCGUUGGGGGACACGAAAUGAGGGCAAACAUUGGCCUCCCGUGGACGCCUUGUGUCUGCGGUUGGUCAAAAAUCUUUCCCGCGGUGGCGUACACCACGACAAGCGGUGGUCUAACAAACCCCUCCCCCCAUAGAGGAGGAGAAGCCUAGAGUCGUGCACGUGACGUCACCUCGGGGCCCCCCUGAUAGAAUGGUCCGACAUUAUCGAUAGUGACCCCAGGUUAGGCA
Molecule: unclassified non-coding RNA, 721 nt
Filed under: Ampelopsis glandulosa var. kulingensis
Lineage: Eukaryota; Viridiplantae; Streptophyta; Magnoliopsida; Vitales; Vitaceae
Description: partial contains internal transcribed spacer 1, 5.8S ribosomal RNA, and internal transcribed spacer 2
Rfam family: 5.8S ribosomal RNA (bases 303-458)
Source: RNAcentral